Molecule: ribosomal RNA, 254 nt
Filed under: uncultured bacterium
Lineage: Bacteria
Description: partial 16S ribosomal RNA
Rfam family: Bacterial small subunit ribosomal RNA
Source: RNAcentral
UACGUAGGGUGCAAGCGUUAAUCGGAAUUACUGGGCGUAAAGCGUGCGCAGGCGGUUUUGUAAGUCUGACGUGAAAUCCCCGGGCUCAACCUGGGAAUUGCGUUGGAGACUGCAAGGCUAGAAUCUGGCAGAGGGGGGUAGAAUUCCACGUGUAGCAGUGAAAUGCGUAGAUAUGUGGAGGAACACCGAUGGCGAAGGCAGCCCCCUGGGUCAAGAUUGACGCUCAUGCACGAAAGCGUGGGGGAGCAAACAGG